Ornithodoros turicata is the source of this 686-nucleotide long non-coding RNA. RefSeq lists it as uncharacterized. The record is from RefSeq and is a predicted model, not a curated record. The transcript has 2 exons. NCBI's taxonomy places the organism in Eukaryota, Metazoa, Arthropoda, Arachnida, Ixodida, Argasidae.
CGUGUUGGGCUCAUUGUCGAUCAUGUCGAUCACGAAGGCUCCUGCAGUUCAAACUUGCACAUGUUUGUAAUUCUUUUCUUUGUGUGGGUUCACGUCAACAUCAUUUCGAGGGGCACACGUGCAGAUAGAUUGGGUUAGAGGCCCUUGCCCUUCCUCCUUUCCGUUCCCCUAAACAACGUGUCGCCAGUCAAGGCAGGUGGAUCGCUCGUCUACCCAAGGAUGACUUCUUCCCAUGCUCACAUCGAGACAGUGCAAGGACAAGCAUGUUAGGAGCUUCACUUGCGUUCGCACAGCUCCUGGUUUCCGUGAUCUAUCUUGUUCCUGCUAAGGCUUUAAAAUACCCCGUAAGCGUGGAAGUUAGUUACGGGAGCUGCGUAUACUUGAAGACAUCUAUUCCUGACGGUCAAACGCAGCAGAUGUUGAGGAACCAGUGCGCCCUGGCCACGUGCAACGCCACCUUGUCGUAUGUGGAGAUUGAAACAUGCGACAAGCCUCCAGAGGGAUGCUUCAAUCCCUCCUCUGGAUUCUACCCUGCUUGCUGUGCUACACCGAUAUGCAAGACAAGUUAAGCGCGAGGGAAGCCCCGACUGCGUAUGCAAUACACUAAAUGUACGGACUAUACGCCAGCAUCCAUUUCGUUCUACAAUCAGAAUAAAUUACCUUUUACGGUAAACAGCAUAGGUAUA